This 515-nucleotide ribosomal RNA is filed under the name uncultured bacterium. RNAcentral describes it as "partial 16S ribosomal RNA". It matches the Rfam family "Bacterial small subunit ribosomal RNA", at positions 28 to 523 of the family's 1533-position model. The record is from RNAcentral.
GACGAACGCUGGCGGCGUGCCUAAUACAUGCAAGUCGAACGCUUCCUACCGGUGCUUGCACCGGGAAAGAAGAGUGGCGGACGGGUGAGUAACACGUGGGUAACCUACCUACAAGCGGGGGAUAACAUUCGGAAACGGAUGCUAAUACCGCAUAGAUCUUUUUGUCUCCUGGCAGAAAGAAGAAGGACGGUUUCGGCUGUCACUUGUAGAUGGACCCGCGGCGCAUUAGUUAGUUGGUGAGGUAAUGGCUCACCAAGACGACGAUGCGUAGCCGACCUGAGAGGGUGAUCGGCCACACUGGGACUGAGACACGGCCCAGACUCCUACGGGAGGCAGCAGUAGGGAAUCUUCCGCAAUGGACGAAAGUCUGACGGAGCAACGCCGCGUGAGUGAAGAAGGUUUUCGGAUCGUAAAACUCUGUUGUUAGAGAAGAACAAGGAUGAGAGUAACUGCUCGUCCCUUGACGGUAUCUAACCAGAAAGCCAUGGCUAACUACGUGCCAGCCGCCGCAGUAA